RNAcentral lists this long non-coding RNA (674 nucleotides) under Homo sapiens (human). Its description in RNAcentral is "non-protein coding lnc-LMBRD1-6:1". Lineage: Eukaryota; Metazoa; Chordata; Mammalia; Primates; Hominidae. The record is from RNAcentral.
UUACAUACAGUGCCCUAACUCUAAGGUUCCCCACAGUUUGGCCCUUAAUUCAGCAACCCUGGGAAUGGAGACGAUUAGGCAUAUGUAAGUCUCUAUAGCCCACAGGAAAAGACUUUGUGGCAUUUAAUAAUCAAACUCCCAAAGAUCAAGUAUUUAAAAAGGAUACUAAAAGAAGCAAAAAAAAAAAAAAAAAAAGAAAAAAAAGAAACACAUAAUACACAAUGGAGCUGUAAUACACAAUUAACGUUUAUUGAAAAUCUAAGUUAUUAUCAGUCAGGAUAAACUUGAUUAUACUUCAUAAAAAAUAAUUCUAGCCUUUUUGUGGAACAAAACAUCUAAGUUAUUUUUGAUCAACUUUCUGACUUUCCCCAGUGAGAUGAACCCGGUACCUCAGUUGGAAAUGCAGAAAUCACCCGUCUUCUGUCUUCUGCGUUGCUCACGCUGGGAGCUGUAGACUGGAGCUGUUCCUAUUUGGCCAUCUUGGCUCCACACCAAUGUUUUAUAGUUUUCAUUGUAAAUAUCUUCACUUCUUUGGUUAAAUUUAUUCCUAGCUCUUUUAUUUUAUUUGUAGCUAUUGUAAAUGGGAUUACUUUCUUGAUUUCUUUUUCAGAGUGUUCACUGUUGUCAUAUAAAUAUGCUCCUGAUUUCUAUGUUGAUUUUAUAUCCUUGCAACU